RNAcentral lists this transfer RNA (72 nucleotides) under Chaenogobius annularis (forktongue goby). RNAcentral's name for it is "tRNA-Asp". It matches the Rfam family "tRNA". Rfam says of the family: Transfer RNA (tRNA) molecules are approximately 80 nucleotides in length. The record is from RNAcentral. Lineage: Eukaryota; Metazoa; Chordata; Actinopteri; Gobiiformes; Gobiidae.
AAGGUACUAGUAAAAAAGACAUUACACUGCUUUGUCAAGGCAAAAUCGUAGGUUAAAGUCCUGCGUAUCUUA